GCGUACUUCAGAACUUUCUUUGCAUUUCUCAAAAUCCCAAAUCGAUAAACCCUAAUCCCAAUUCUCUCAUUUCCUCCCUUCAUUCACUCUCUAAAUUCUCAAUUUCCACUGCAUAAUAGAUUUUGAUUCGCUAUUCUGUUCGAUCACUCUUCCGUUUUUAUUCCAUUCAGUUCAAUUACCAUGUUGUUGAUAGGUGCUCAAAUAUAUUGAAAGUGAUUGGAAAAAGUUCAUAGUUGCUGGAGACGUAACUGUUGACAAAAUUAGGACAAACCAUUUUAGAGAGGUUGUGAAUUGGGUGUUGAGUAGUGAUGGAUGACCCGUUUGAUUCUUCGUUUAAUUUGGAGGAGACCCAUUUGAAGGAAGGCUAUGAUGAAGGUUACAGUCAUGGCCUUGAUGCCGGCAGGGAAGAGGGGAAGCAGGUUGGGCUCAAAGUUGGUUUUGAGGUCGGUGAGGAACUCGGAUUCUACAGCGGCUGCAUCCACAUCUGGACAUCUGCCAUCCAGAUUGAUCCGACUUGCUUCUCUUCCCGGGCCAAAACUACCAUCACCCAGAUGCAAGAAUUGAUCCAAAAAUACCCUUUGAUGGAUCCGGAAGAUCUACAAGUGCAAGAGAUAAUGGAUAGCCUCAGGCUCAAGUUCAAGAUGCUUUGUUCUUCACUGCAUGUCAAACUCCACUAUAAUGGCUAUCCUGGUGAGGCCAAUGUCACUCAGUUUUGAACCAGAUUUUGUAUUUUACUCUGUUCCCAUUUCAAAGGUAAAAAUUUUGCUUGAGUUAUAGAAUAAAGGCUUAAAUAUGUAUUUGAUCCUUGCAAUUAGGGGUCGUUUAAAAAUUGGUCCCUGCAUUCGCUAAUCCUUGCAAACUAGCUUUGCAAUCAUUAAUCAUUUAAAAUUUCGUCCUUUGACCCGAUUAAUGACUGCCACAUCACGUAAUUACUGACGAGUCUAUGUUAAAUGGCCCAUACGCACGCGAAAUGACCAAAAUGCCCUUCUUCUUCUUCUUCUCUCUACUAGAGAUCUGUUCAACCUCUUCUCUAUUUCUCAAAAAACUUCAUUUCAUCUUUCUCUUUCACUCUCAAAAAUCCAGUUUUUUUUAUCAAAUUCGCAAAUCCACAAAUUUACAGAAAUUCGAAUUCUGGGUUGGGGUUAGGGUAAAAAAAAUUCAGCGAAUUCUGGAUUGGGGUUGGCACAAAUUCCGCCGGUGACGUUACCACCACCGUCGUCGUCAUCUCCGGCGCUCUUCAGGUUUGGUUUGUUGGGGUUUCAGCUGUCAUGCCCCUUCCAUCUUUCUUCUCAAUCAAUUUCUUGCUGAGAAGAAGAACCUUGAUGAUUUGAUUUGAUAUUGAAUGCCACUGGAGGUGGUGCUCCGGUUUCUGUUUCGGCCCCAAUUGCUGUUGUUGCCUCCACUGCAGUUGCUGCUCCUACCGAGGAGAAGAAGGAAGAACCUAAGGAUGAGAGUGACGAUGACAUGGGAUUCAACUUGUUUGAUUAGAAGCACUUUUAGUAUGAUCUUUUCUGAUUUUUGUACUCGUAUUGGGGUAGUUACUUGGUGGAAUUCCUUUUUUUGGGACUCAAUUUUAUUUUGAUUGCAUUAUUUGCUCAAGAUUUUGUUGUGCUUUUGAGUUUAAUUUGAGUUGAAUUGUUGAAGGUUUUAAUUCCACUGAGAUUUGAAUUUUUUUUCUCUGCCAUGAAUGAAAAUUGCUGAAGGUUUUUGGACUGGGAAUGGUAGGAGGAGAAAGAUGAAAGAGUGUUUUGGUUGAAGAUGAAUUUAAGGGUAAAUUGGUCAUUUCGCGUGCGUAUGGGCAAAUCAUCAGUGCCACCUCAUCAGAUUAGUGACGUGGCAGUGAUUAACUGGGGAGAGGGACGAAAUUUUAAAUGAUUAAUGAUUGCAAGGCUAGUUUGCAAGGAUUAGCGAAUACAGGGACCAAUUUUUAAACGACCCCUAAUUGCAAGGAUCAAAUACAUAUUUAAGCCUAGAAUAAAUAAAGUUUGAUAUGUAACUUGCAGUAUUGAAUACUUCACCAUAGGUAUAAUUAACAUUUAUUGUUCAUGUACGUAAGAUAUCAACCUCUUAGCUUUGUAAAUCAAAAUUUUGAUGUCAGAUACUCUCUUUUUUUUUGGUACAAUGAUGUCGAAUACAUUUCGUUUGA
Long non-coding RNA from Medicago truncatula (barrel medic), 2146 nucleotides. RefSeq lists it as uncharacterized. The transcript has 3 exons. NCBI's taxonomy places the organism in Eukaryota, Viridiplantae, Streptophyta, Magnoliopsida, Fabales, Fabaceae. The record is from RefSeq and is a predicted model, not a curated record.